UUCAUCAGAAAAUCAUUUUGUCAUCCAGGCAAAGCCAAACAAGAAAAAGUCAGAAUGGAUCCACCCCGAGGAGGAACCACUAAUAUCCCUACAUGCUUUGCGCGCUUAGAUUUCACAAGAUGGCUGCGUUUAGAGAGCUUUAAACGGUGGCUGAUCUCGAUUCUUUGAAGCAACAUAACCGUGACGGUUAGAAGACAUUAACAAACUCUCCAGCAAAGCACCAGAAGUGGACAAACGAGGAAGAGAGACGAUGAUGGAGACGAUGAUGGAGACGAUGAUGGAGACGAUGAUGGAGACGAUGAUGGAGACGAAGAUGAGACGAUGAUGGAGACGAUCCACAGGGCCAUCCCCUCAGACUUCGUAGAUUAGUCCUCAACCACAGAGAGGAUUCCUCUAUUUUUGUCCCUGAUAGAUCAUUCCUUCCAGUCAGAAACCAGACUACCAUUCCACAGAGGAUCUUCAGACUAAGUGCUAUGCUGAUCCAACUAGAUAAUCAGAAUUUGAGCAAGACAAGUAGCAAAAAAUCUAGUUACUCAACAAAACAAACGUAAAAUAGCAAAAAAAAGGUUUACAGAAUCCUAAACGAUCCCAGGAUUCCCAAAAGUUCCCCAACUGAUCCCGGGACCUGAAACGAUACCGAGGAGUCCCGGAAAUAACCCGUAGAAAUCAGAGUCCUGGAUCAUUACGGGUCCUGCACUGACUGACAGCGGGCUUCUGAAGACGUUCAACUUUUAUCUGGAUGAAGGAGGGGUGACGGACUCCUGUCUGUGAUCAUAUCUCAUACCACUCGAGGGAAAUCGAACAUAAAAAUCAUUUAAGAGAGCAUUAGAUAUCUUUCACUUUC
This is a long non-coding RNA of Nematostella vectensis (starlet sea anemone), 844 nucleotides long. RefSeq lists it as uncharacterized. Lineage: Eukaryota; Metazoa; Cnidaria; Anthozoa; Actiniaria; Edwardsiidae. The record is from RefSeq and is a predicted model, not a curated record. The transcript has 2 exons.